UGGGUUCGAUUCCGGAGAGGGAGCCUGAGAAACGGCUACCACAUCUAAGGAAGGCAGCAGGCGCGCAAGUUACCCAAUCCUGACACAGGGAGGUAGUGACAAGAAAUACCAAUACGAGGCAAUCAUGUCUAGUAAUUGGAAUGAGUGCGAUUCAAACAUCCCAACGAGUAUCAAUUGGAGGGCAAGUCUGGUGCCAGCAGCCGCGGUAAUUCCAGCUCCAAUAGCGUAUAUUAAAGUUGUUGCGGUUAAAAAGCUCGUAGUUGGAUUUCUGUCAGCGAGUGGCGCUCCGCCCCCUGUGGUGAGUAGUCGUCAUGCCGCCGGCAUCUUUCUGGGGAGCGUGUCUGCACUUCAUUGUGUGGUGCGCAAGCCAGAACUUUUACUUUGAGGAAAUGAGAGUGUUUCAAGCAGGCGAUCGCCGUGAAUACGUUAGCAUGGAAUAAUAGCAUCGGACCUCGUCCCAAAGCUGUUGGUUCCUUGGGAUGAGGUAAAGGUGAAUAGGGAUUGUUGGGGGCAUUCGUAUUACACUGUCAGAGGUGAAAUUCUUGGAUUUGUGUAAGACGGACUACUGCGAAAGCAUCUGCCAAAGAUGUUCUCAUUGAUCAAGAACGAAAGUUGGGGGAUCGAAGACGAUCAGAUACCGUCGUAGUCUCAACCAUAAACUACGCCGACUGGAGAUGGGAGGUCGUUAUAUUCUCGACACCUCCCCGCAUCUUGAGAGAAAUCAAAGUCUUUGGGUUCCGGGGGGAGUAUGGUCGCAAGGCUGAAACUUAAAGGAAUUGACGGAAGGCACCACCAUGAGUGGAGCCUGCGGCUUAAUUUGACUCAACACGGA
Molecule: ribosomal RNA, 832 nt
Filed under: uncultured eukaryote
Lineage: Eukaryota
Description: SSU rRNA
Rfam family: Eukaryotic small subunit ribosomal RNA
Source: RNAcentral